CUUGUAUUUAAAUCAGUAGUCAAUAUGGUUUGAACUGAUCCGAAUAAGAUUUCAAACUCCUCACUAAGUUCCAUAAUUGUCAAACAAUGGUUGCCUCGAAUUACUGUUCGUAUUUUUUGAACCAUUACGGCUUGUUGACGGGCGUCCUUCACGUUUGUCACUUUCAAAUCGUUUGGACCAUUCAAAAACGCAAGUAAAGGACAUCGUUUCAUCUCUAUAGGCUAACAAUAACAUUUGGUAAGUUUCAGUAGCUGUUUAUCCCAGUUUAUGACAAAAUUUAAUACACUGUCAAUAUUUUCGCUCAUAAUGAAAUUCGACAGGAUAUAUGAACACUUUACUUAAUCGCACCUAGAAGUUAACUGAGACAAAUUUAGUUUAUGCCUAAUAUAUUUUCCCAACCUACAAAGAUUAAUAUAGCACAUGCAAGUUCAUAUUCAAACCGGUUUACGACUUAUCUUGUCAGUCUCGAUAAUUUUUGAUUGGACCUCGUAUUCGGAUACGUUAUGAAAACUCAAUUACAAAUUUUCGUUAAUGUGGUAAUGUUGACAGAAUUGAUUAAUACUGAAAGAAAUUUAUUUCUUGUUUGUCCUAACCCUUGAUAUGUAUCUUUAUACCAAAAAUUGUGACCUGUA
Molecule: non-coding RNA, 632 nt
Organism: Cinara cedri
Lineage: Eukaryota; Metazoa; Arthropoda; Insecta; Hemiptera; Aphididae
Source: the annotation of a GenBank genome assembly